This 990-nucleotide ribosomal RNA is filed under the name uncultured bacterium. RNAcentral describes it as "bacterial SSU rRNA". It matches the Rfam family "Bacterial small subunit ribosomal RNA", at positions 65 to 1063 of the family's 1533-position model. The record is from RNAcentral.
AGCGAAGCUUUUCAGUAGUUUACUACAGAAAAUGACUGAGCGGCGAACGGGUGAGUAACGCGUGAGCAAUCUACCUUAGUUACAGGGAUAGCCCGAGGAAACUCGGAUUAAUACCUGAUAUUCUUUACAUUUCGCAUGAAAUCAAAAGGAAAGGUCAGCCGAACUAAGAUGAGCUCGCGUUCUAUCAGCUAGUUGGCGAGGUAAAAGCUUACCAAGGCUACGACGGAUAGCUGGUCUGAGAGGACGAUCAGCCACACUGGGACUGAGACACGGCCCAGACUCCUACGGGAGGCUGCAGCAGGGAAUAUUGUGCAAUGAACGAAAGUUUGACACAGCGACACCGCGUGUGGGAUGACGGAUCUAGGUUUGUAAACCACUUUCAGGAGGGAAGAAAAUGACGGUACCUCCACAAGAAGCCCCGGCCAACUACGUGCCAGCAGCCGCGGUAAUACGUAGGGGGCGAGCGUUGUCCGGAUUUAUUGGGCGUAAAGAGCUCGUAGGCGGUUCAACAUGUCGGUCGUGAAAGUUCAGGGCUCAACCCUGAAAUGUCGAUCGAUACUGUUGUGACUAGGAUACGGUAGAGGUGAGUGGAAUUCCGAGUGUAGCGGUGAAAUGCGUAGAUAUUCGGAGGAACACCAAUUGCGAAGGCAGCUCACUGGACCGCUAUCGACGCUGAGGAGCGAAAGCUAGGGGAGCAAACAGGAUUAGAUACCCUGGUAGUCCUAGCUGUAAACGAUGGAUACUAGACGUAGGAACUGGGUCGACGGUUUCUGUGUCGUAGCUAACGCGUUAAGUAUCCCGCCUGGGGAGUACGGUCGCAAGACUAAAACUCAAAGGAAUUGACGGGACCCCGCACAAGCGGCGGAGCAUGCGGCUUAAUUCGAUGGUACCCGUAGAACCUUACCUGGACUUGACAUAUAGGGUCAAGCUAUAGAGAUAUAGUGUGCAUUAGCGCCCUACACAGGUGGGGCAUGGCUGUCGUCAGCUCGU